UUGGGAAUCUGGUACUCAUCCUAAAACUAGAUUUUAAGAAUCUGCAACCAGCUUUGAUACGGACUAUUGUAGAUCCAGUAUUGAUUGUUGGGAUUUUGCAACGAAAGCGGCAUAUUAGAUUUUUACCAUAAAUCUGUUUCCUCAACAAAAGAUGAUACAAUCAUAAAAGGGAGAAAAAUCAAAAUAGAAAAUAUGGGUAAAAUAAGAUUCACUAAAUAAGAAAAGAAUUAUAUUUGACUCCUUUUCUAUAUAGAGUAGCAUCAAUCCGAACCCUCUUUUUGAAUCUCGUUCACCCUUCUCUUAUCUUCUGGAAGCCCAAAAGAAGACUUCUCUCUCAUCCUGUGCAUCAAUGCACAAGGUAUACUAAUAAUCCACGGUCACGAAAGCUGCACACGUCCUCUUGCAUCCAUCUACUAGGUGCAUCUAAAAUCAUAGCUACCUUGGUCAUGCCAUAUAGGUGUGGCUAAGAAGUACCACCACCACCGCCAAAAUAAUAGUACAUAUGCUAUAUUUAUAGCUUACAUAAAAAACUACCCAAAUCCUACUCUAAAUCUUAAUAUUUGAUCUCUAACAGAUUUAAAUAUUAAUUCUAAUCCAACUAGGAUUCAGCUACAAAUCUAACCAAAAACAAUCUUGACCUUGGUUUGACUUGUAGUUUUUAGCCACUGCAUCGACCCCACUAUGCAAACUCCGCCUUGAGCUUAUCUCCACCACUCGAUGUCGCUGCAUCCGCCACUUCAUCUCGAACGACUACACCUCUGU
RNAcentral lists this long non-coding RNA (762 nucleotides) under Ananas comosus (pineapple). Its description in RNAcentral is "long non-coding RNA (ACOM_LNC007494)". The record is from RNAcentral. Lineage: Eukaryota; Viridiplantae; Streptophyta; Magnoliopsida; Poales; Bromeliaceae.